GUGGGGAAUAUUGCACAAUGGGCGCAAGCCUGAUGCAGCCAUGCCGCGUGUGUGAAGAAGGCCUUCGGGUUGUAAAGCACUUUCAGCGGGGAGGAAGGCGGUGAGGUUAAUAACCUCACCGAUUGACGUUACCCGCAGAAGAAGCACCGGCUAACUCCGUGCCAGCAGCCGCGGUAAUACGGAGGGUGCAAGCGUUAAUCGGAAUUACUGGGCGUACAGCGCACGCAGGCGGUCUGUCAAGUCGGAUGUGAAAUCCCCGGGCUCAACCUGGGAACUGCAUUCGAAACUGGCAGGCUAGAGUCUUGUAGAGGGGGGUAGAAUUCCAGGUGUAGCGGUGAAAUGCGUAGAGAUCUGGAGGAAUACCGGUGGCGAAGGCGGCCCCCUGGACAAAGACUGACGCUCAGGUGCGAAAGCGUGGGGAGCAAACAGGAUUAGAUACCCCGGUAGUCC
Molecule: ribosomal RNA, 450 nt
Filed under: uncultured bacterium
Lineage: Bacteria
Description: partial 16S ribosomal RNA
Rfam family: Bacterial small subunit ribosomal RNA
Source: RNAcentral